GUGCGCGUAAUUUAACCAAAAUGUUAGAUUGUGAUUCUGAAAUUAGGGGUGAGAACCCCCUCGCCCACC
This 69-nucleotide transfer RNA is filed under the name Cyclopsetta fimbriata (spotfin flounder). Its description in RNAcentral is "tRNA-His". It matches the Rfam family "tRNA". From Rfam's summary of the family: Transfer RNA (tRNA) molecules are approximately 80 nucleotides in length. The record is from RNAcentral. Lineage: Eukaryota; Metazoa; Chordata; Actinopteri; Pleuronectiformes; Cyclopsettidae.